Pelobates cultripes (western spadefoot toad) is the source of this 294-nucleotide non-coding RNA. The record is from the annotation of a GenBank genome assembly. Lineage: Eukaryota; Metazoa; Chordata; Amphibia; Anura; Pelobatidae.
AGAAUAUUCAUCCACUUGGGCAUAAGGUCAUUAAUCUAUAAAUUUAUACAUACUGUGGCAGUGUAAGGGAACACUGCUAUAAUAGCCCCAGAAUGGCACUUUCAGUGUUCCCUGACUAGAGGGGGUUAAAAAAUCAGGCUGGUCUAGUACAUCAGUUAGGGAGCUACUUAAACCCCUAUGCAGAGGGAAAUCAGUCUCUCCUGUGAAGAGCUGGGGCAGAGACAGAGAGACUGUGAGUCAAAGAGACGGCUGAAACUGCAUGGAAAGUAAAGGUAUUUUGCAAGCCUUUAUUUU